Aphis gossypii (cotton aphid) is the source of this 561-nucleotide long non-coding RNA. RefSeq lists it as uncharacterized. The transcript has 3 exons. Lineage: Eukaryota; Metazoa; Arthropoda; Insecta; Hemiptera; Aphididae. The record is from RefSeq and is a predicted model, not a curated record.
GUUCUGUAGUGAUAUUGUUAUAUAAGCCAUCAAAACAUGUAGAGAAUUUCUUUUAUUUUUAAAAUAUGUUUUUGAUUAGAUAUUUGUACUAAUGAUAAUGUUUUAUUGAUUUUAUAUCAACGAGUAAACAAAUUUUGAAGGAAACUAGUGAGCGGCGUUCAAUCCAAAUGACUUCCUGAGUAUCCACCCUACGCCUUGCGAAAAGCUAUCAAAUUGACUCAGCCGGAUAUGUUUUAACGUUGUCCUACAUGAUUCAUAGUCCUUGCAAUAAGACGUAAUGUGUACACAAGAGGAAGCAUUAGGGUGAUCGGAUUCAAUGCGUAUGGCGGAAGAUGAGUUCAUAAAAGGAUAAAGUUGAAUAUAUUUAGUAUUUAAACGUAUUAGUCGACAAUCAUAAUGAUUUUUAAAGUAUUGGUGGUCAAUAAGUAUACCUACAUCGUACAACCCAGAAAAUCUUCAUAACACCACUCAGAAGUCUAAAGUGAUAAACACAAUUUUGGUUUUGCAUCCGACUACUUGGAUAAAAAAUUCUAAAAUUGAAAUUAAACAAUUAAAAAUUAA